AUACAUAGGUUAAGCAGUUAGUAAAGACCAAAUGGGAAGCUUCCAUUAAAAGAAGAACAAUAAUUUGGCCACUAAUUAUGUUUUUUCUUCUCUUAGGUAUUGCUUUAGGCCAGACAACCACUACCUGGCCCCCUGUUGCAUCAACACCAGUGCCUCCUAGUGCAGCCACCACCCAGGUCCCUGUUGCAUCAACCCCAGCACCUCCCAGUACAAUCACCACCCAGGUCCCCAUUGCAUCAACCCCAGUGCCUCCCAGUGCAGCCAGUACUGCGGCCUCUACGCCUCAAACUGCCUCUACAGUGCUCUCGGCUGGAGUGACAUCAACCACUGCAAACCUUGUUGUGUCCACGGCAGUGCCUUCUGCUGAUCCAAGCACAAACGAGUCAGCUCAGACUCUGCCCACCACCACAGAUAUGACCGUCCUCACCUCUGGCAGCAUGGCCACCUCUCAAGUGUCUACAGGACUAAUGACCACGUCCACCAGCACCCCAGCAUCCCCUCCAGGUGUGACCACAACUCCUGGGGUCCCAUCAGCAGUUCCGUUCCUCACCACCACGAGGCCCUCAAACUGCAGCCGAGUGAACGUGACAUCCUGUGCCAGCUGCUCCCCAGGGACAUUUCCCAAUGAAGGGUAUUUUAGCUCCAAGCAAAAUGCAUCUUUUUGUCUGCCUUGCCCGUCUGGAUCAUUUUGCAACACCACCAGCUGCAGGGGGUGUCUGCCGUGCCCCGGUGGGCAAGAGGCUCUUCAGGAGGCAUCGGAGGAGUGCGUACCCUGCCAACCAGGUACCUUCUGCAGCGGAGGGUGGGGGCUGCCACAGCCUGGCUGGGAACGGGCAGCUUCAGUGCCAGAAGGAAGGGUUUCUUCCUGAGACACGUCUCCCUUGCCCAAGCGGACCCUG
This 899-nucleotide long non-coding RNA is filed under the name Calidris pugnax (ruff). RNAcentral describes it as "lncRNA (ENSCPUG00000007576.1)". Lineage: Eukaryota; Metazoa; Chordata; Aves; Charadriiformes; Scolopacidae. The record is from RNAcentral.